This 376-nucleotide ribosomal RNA is filed under the name uncultured bacterium. RNAcentral's name for it is "bacterial SSU rRNA". It matches the Rfam family "Bacterial small subunit ribosomal RNA", at positions 524 to 898 of the family's 1533-position model. The record is from RNAcentral.
UACGUAGGUGGCAAGCGUUGUCCGGAUUUACUGGGCGUAAAGGGAGCGUAGGCGGAUACUUAAGUGGGAUGUGAAAUACCUGGGCUUAACUUGGGUGCUGCAUUCCAAACUGGGUGUCUAGAGUGUUGGAGAGGAAAGUGGAAUUCCUAGUGUAGCGGUGAAAUGCGUAGAGAUUAGGAAGAACACCAGUGGCGAAGGCGACUUUCUGGACAAUAACUGACGCUGAGGCUCGAAAGCGUGGGGAGCAAACAGGAUUAGAUACCCUGGUAGUCCACGCCGUAAACGAUGGGUACUAGGUGUAGGAGGUAUAGACUCCUCCUGUGCCGCCGUUAACACAAUAAGUACCCCGCCUGGGGAGUACGGUCGCAAGAUUAAA